ACCUGAAUAUCCGUUAUGGAAAAUUCAUCAUUAAAAUUGUAAUAUUUAAAUAAUAUUAUUAAGAAUAAUGUGCAUUUUUUCCAUAUAAGGACAUUGUAAUCUAUUAGCAUAUCCCAAAUUUAUCAUAAAAUAUAACUUAUAGUUUAUUCCAAUUAAAUUGCUUGCAUUUUAACACAGAAUAAAUGUUAUUAAUUUGAUAAAGUGCUGAUAGAUUUAUAUUAUUACAGAGCGUUAAUUUUUCGGAAUUAUAUAAUGGCAUAAUUAUCAUUGAUUUUUGUGUUUAUUAUAUGCUCUUGUAUGAUUAACAAUGCGAAAGAUUCAGGAUACCUUCGGGACCCGUCUUGAAACACGGACCAAGGAGUCUAACAUAUGUGCAAGUUAUUGGGAUGUAAACCUAAUAGCGUAAUUAACUUGACUAAUAAUGGGAUUAGUUUUUUAGCUAUUUAUAGCUAAUUAACACAAUCCCGGGGCGUUCUAUAUAGUUAUGUAUAAUGUAUAUUUAUAUUAUUUAUGCCUCUAACUGGAACGUACCUUGAGCAUAUAUGCUGUGACCCGAAAGAUGGUGAACUAUACUUGAUCAGGUUGAAGUCAGGGGAAACCCUGAUGGAAGACCGAAACAGUUCUGACGUGCAAAUCGAUUGUCAGAAUUGAGUAUAGGGGCGAAAGACCAAUCGAACCAUCUAGUAGCUGGUUCCUUCCGAAGUUUCCCUCAGGAUAGCUGGUGCAUUUUAAUAUUAUAUAAAUAAUCUUAUCUGGUAAAGCGAAUGAUUAGAGGCCUUAGGGUCGAAACGAUCUUAACCUAUUCUCAAACUUUAAAUGGGUAAGAACCUUAACUUUCUUGAUAUGAAGUUCAAAGAUUAUGAUAUAAUGUGCCCAGUGGGCCACUUUUGGUAAGCAGAACUGGCGCUGUGGGAUGAACCAAACGUAAUGUUACGGUGCCCAAAUUAACAACUCAUGCAGAUACCAUGAAAGGCGUUGGUUGCUUAAAACAGCAGGACGGUGAUCAUGGAAGUCGAAAUCCGCUAAGGAGUGUGUAACAACUCACCUGCCGAAGCAACUAGCCCUUAAAAUGGAUGGCGCUUAAGUUGUAUACCUAUACAUUACCGCUAAAGUAGAUGAUUUAUAUUACUUGUGAUAUAAAUUUUGAAACUUUAGUGAGUAGGAAGGUACAAUGGUAUGCGUAGAAGUGUUUGGCGUAAGCCUGCAUGGAGCUGCCAUUGGUACAGAUCUUGGUGGUAGUAGCAAAUAAUCGAAUGAGACCUUGGAGGACUGAAGUGGAGAAGGGUUUCGUGUGAACAGUGGUUGAUCACGAGUUAGUCGGUCCUAAGUUCAAGGCGAAAGCCGAAAAUUUUCAAGUAAAACAAAAAUGCCUAACUAUAUAAACAAAGCGAAUAUAAUACACUUGAAUAAUUUUGAACGAAAGGGAAUACGGUUCCAAUUCCGUAACCUGUUGAGUAUCCGUUUGUUAUUAAAUAUGGGCCUCGUGCUCAUCCUGAACAACAGGAACGACCAUAAAGAAGCCGUCGAGAGAUAUCGGAAGAGUUU
RNAcentral lists this non-coding RNA (1545 nucleotides) under Drosophila sechellia. RNAcentral's name for it is "Eukaryotic large subunit ribosomal RNA". It matches the Rfam family "Eukaryotic large subunit ribosomal RNA", at positions 428 to 1692 of the family's 3401-position model. Lineage: Eukaryota; Metazoa; Arthropoda; Insecta; Diptera; Drosophilidae. The record is from Rfam by way of RNAcentral.